GCGGUGGUAGUUCAGUGGUAGACUUCUUGCCUUUCAUGCGGAGACCCGGGUUCAAUUCCCAGCCAAUGCA
Molecule: transfer RNA, 70 nt
Filed under: Loxodonta africana (African savanna elephant)
Lineage: Eukaryota; Metazoa; Chordata; Mammalia; Proboscidea; Elephantidae
Rfam family: tRNA
About the family: Transfer RNA (tRNA) molecules are approximately 80 nucleotides in length. Their secondary structure includes four short double-helical elements and three loops (D, anti-codon, and T loops).
Source: Rfam by way of RNAcentral